Molecule: microRNA, 20 nt
Filed under: Human betaherpesvirus 5
Lineage: Duplodnaviria; Heunggongvirae; Peploviricota; Herviviricetes; Herpesvirales; Orthoherpesviridae
Description: hcmv-miR-UL22A-5p
Gene: hcmv-miR-UL22A-5p
Source: miRBase by way of RNAcentral
UAACUAGCCUUCCCGUGAGA